This 432-nucleotide ribosomal RNA is filed under the name Melanoleuca tristis. Its description in RNAcentral is "eukaryotic LSU rRNA". The stretch from base 1 to 121 matches the Rfam family "5.8S ribosomal RNA", at positions 34 to 154 of the family's 154-position model. The record is from RNAcentral. Lineage: Eukaryota; Fungi; Basidiomycota; Agaricomycetes; Agaricales; Pluteaceae.
CGAUGAAGAACGCAGCGAAAUGCGAUAAGUAAUGUGAAUUGCAGAAUUCAGUGAAUCAUCGAAUCUUUGAACGCACCUUGCGCUCCUUGGUAUUCCGAGGAGCAUGCCUGUUUGAGUGUCAUUAAAUUCUCAAUCCCAGAAAGGGUUUAUUCUCAGCUGGGCUUGGAUAUGGGGGUUUUGCCGGCUUUGUAAAGAGUCAGCUCUCCUGAAAAACAUUAGCAAGACUCUUAUUGCAACCUUCUAUUUGGUGUGAUAAUUAUCUACAUCAUAGAUUGUGUGCAUGUCUGGCUUCUAACAGUCCAUUGAUUUGGACAAAACUCUGACAAUUUGACCUCAAAUCAGGUAGGACUACCCGCUGAACUUAAGCAUAUCAAUAAGCGGAGGAAAAGAAACUAACAAGGAUUCCCCUAGUAACUGCGAGUGAAGCGGGAA